UAGGGAAUCUUCCACAAUGGACGAAAGUCUGAUGGAGCAACGCCGCGUGAGUGAAGAAGGGUUUCGGCUCGUAAAACUCUGUUGUUAAAGAAGAAUAUAUCUGAGAGUAACUGUUCAGGUAUUGACGGUAUUUAACCAGAAAGCCACGGCUAACUACGUGCCAGCAGCCGCGGUAAUACGUAGGUGGCAAGCGUUGUCCGGAUUUAUUGGGCGUAAAGCGAGCGCAGGCGGUUUUUUAAGUCUGAUGUGAAAGCCUUCGGCUCAACCGAAGAAGUGCAUCGGAAAC
Molecule: ribosomal RNA, 286 nt
Filed under: uncultured bacterium
Lineage: Bacteria
Description: partial 16S ribosomal RNA
Rfam family: Bacterial small subunit ribosomal RNA
Source: RNAcentral